UCUUCCAGAUUUGUCUGUGGACAUGUCAGUUGUCAUGGCCGUUGCUGAAGAAGAAAUGAAAGAGAUACACCUUCAAAUGGAGGAAAAACCUGGUGAAGCUUCAUCUACCGCCACAGUUGUUGAUGGAUCCAAAGUGAAGUUCUCAGCCAUCUGCAAUAUGUUAGCAGCGCUGUCCCUGGGACUGCUGGCCGGAGGCUGCAUGGGAGAUAUGGGAAUAUCGAUGGCCUGCUUCAUAAAGGAAGCUGUACAAGGUCGAACUGAGCUCACAGCGAUGGUGCCCAAACUUUACCCAUUUAUCAGCUCUUCGUAUAUCACCUACGUGUCUCUUCUUGGGGCUUCACUGGCAUCAGGGGCUGGCUUCGCUUGUGGAUACCAGAUUUAUAGUCUGAAGAGACAGAGCCAAAAAGAUCCUGAAGCAUCAGUGUCAGUGUCUUUAGCUCUGGCUGCAUAUGUGGUUGUUCUGGGAGUGGCGGUCACUGGAGCUGCAGUCGGAGCCGUUUUGGAAUUUUCCUUUUCCAGUUUUAUGUUGAUCCCGUUUUCAGUGCAUUCAGGCGCAGCAUUUAUACUAGGACAGAUUGUGGUCAGCAUAGUAGCAUUUGCACUGUGUGCAUGUUCCUCAGGCUUUUAUUAUGGCUGUGUUAGUGUUGUUACAUUUUUUGUAUUAAGUUUGUUAGUAUUUUUGGAGUAUGCACUGGCUGUACUGUCUUUCAGAACAGGGUCUGUUCUUUUCUUGGACAUGGGGUCCAUGUUACCCCUCAUUCCUCCAUCGCUGGUGUUUUGCAUGCUUCAUAAAUUCCACAAAGUCCAGCUCAGCAAGGCAGCUGUGAAGAUACCAACUGUCAUGAUUAUCACAGUUCUCAUUGCCAGGAGCUGCUUCCACGAUAAAGACCAACCUUCAGUGCCAUUUCUACAUCCAGCCAACUUCACUCUACCUGAUUUACACGUUCUGGAGCGCUUCUUUGUGAUUGUGCUCGGUCUGCAGAUGUUUCAGGCUUCGUGUGGGGCGGUGGUCUUCUCGUAUUUCGUCAACAGAGAGGAGGCCAUGGAGAUCAGUGCAGGUGCAGUGUCUUUCGCUACGGCAGGAGUCUUGGCAGUCUUAAUGAAACUUUCUCCCAUGCUCCCAGCUGGAGUAUUAUUAGGGGGUCUACUGGCUGUGUCUGGAGGGGUUGGAGCAGCACUCACUGCAGCAGGAGAUCUGGGCCACAGAUAUGGAGGCCAUGGAGGAAGAGCUGCAGCAGUUCUAAUUGCUGCAGUUGGAGCUUUUCUGCCUUUAGUGGUUCAUGAUGUACAAUUCGCCCUUAUGGUGGCUCUCUGCACAGCUGCUAUUCCAGCGUCACCUUUUGUACAGUUCUGUUUGGACUCUAUUAACAGUUGCUUUGUCUGUGGAACAUCGUCAUGAUCUGUUAUCUGUUUUGUUUUGCUGCUGAUGUAUCUGUAGAAAUAAUAUAACUGUUUACUGUAAAUACACUGUAAAUUUGCAAUGUUUCAAAAAAGGUGUAUUGUUUUUAUAUACUGAUCAACACCUCCUUUAUUUUUUUAGCUUUACUAAGGAUAUAGAAGCACUUUGUAGUUCUAUAUUAACAGACUGCAGUCCUGUAUCUGUUUCUCUGUAUACUUUAUUAUUGUCCGCCUUUCACUCUGUUAUUCAACUGCAUGGACCCCAAAGGACCACCACAGAGCAUCUAUUAUUUGGUUGGUUUGUUAUUCUUCAGAACUGCAGUGACACUAUCAUGGUGUUUAUGUGUUAGUGUGUGUUGUGCUUGUGGUGCACUGGUGGUGCCACAGUGUGAAUGAAAAGCAUCUACUAUUGUUCAUCACCUCCAGGAACUCAUUUAAGAUGCUUAGAAAACUAUUCAAGGUGAUUCUACCUCAUGAAGACACUGAGUUUAAAAUAGCAAGACUGUGCAAAUCUGUCAUGGCUACUUUGACGAAUCCAACAUUGUUUUUUUGUUCACUAAAUAAUUCUUGAUGGUUUUCUUUAUAGUUUGGAUGCUGUUAGUGUUAAUCUACAAUGCAGAACAUUUUCAACUACUAAAUUUAAGAUGUGUCCAAACUUUUUGAGUGGUACUGUAUAUUUAUUUAAAAUUAUUUUAUGAAAAUGUAAUUUAGGGCGUGUUAGUGUUUCUUUUUUUAUCAUAAGGAUGCAAAAAAAUGCCUUUAACUUUGGUGCGUUCAUAUCUAACAGCGUGGCUCUUUGCACGUCUCAGCAGAGAAUUCUGACCUGCACGUUCACGCUAUAAAGGUACGCCAGCAGCUCAUUUAAAGGAAUGCUAUUUUAUACUUUAUUCUGUUUCUUGUUGAGUUAAAAGUCAGGUUUGCACUCUGCAGCAUGACACACAUAGAAAUGGACUCUUAAGAUUGACUGUUGUCUAAGUUGUAUUCAGUCAGUGGAGCACCUGCGUUUUCCGCUGAUAAAAUAGCAACACGCCAGAAAUUUACCUGAACACACCUCACUUCCAGACCACCACGGCCAUCAGCAUUUAUUCCUAAUCCUCGAUGCUAUUUUAACAGCGCUGGCUCAUGGCGUAAAAAUAGACUGUUGACAGGGUAUAAGAUAGCAAAGAGCAUUGCGAUUGAUUUGGGAUGAGCUGGAUCUUCACAGCAUGAGGGAAAGCAGCAGCUAUUGUUCAGCACCUCCAGGAACUCCUUUAAGAAAACUAUUCCAGGUGGUUCUACCUCAUGAAGACACUCACACUAAAAAAGAGAGGCAUGAUAUAAGUACUUUCUGGUACUCAAAGGUACUCUUUUCAUAAUUGUACCCUCAAAGGUAUAAUACUGGUCUUUACAGGGUCAGAUGUGUUCCCUCUGAAGUACAAAGUCUUUCCUAACAGCAGGAAGUACAGAUUUGUACCAUUUAACCAGCCAAAAGCUACAUUCGGUAUUCUGGAUCACUGUACUAAUAAACAAUAUAUUUUAUUUAUACA
Molecule: long non-coding RNA, 2924 nt
Filed under: Astyanax mexicanus (Mexican tetra)
Lineage: Eukaryota; Metazoa; Chordata; Actinopteri; Characiformes; Acestrorhamphidae
Description: lncRNA (ENSAMXG00005007517.1)
Source: RNAcentral